GUUCGGCCAUAAUCGUAAUUUCACAAAAGUUAAAAAACGGAUGCACGAUUUCCUUAUUAUUUUUUAACUCUGUCAAAAACUAGUUUAUUUCGGUAUGUUUAUUUUCGAUGUAUGUCAUAUACGUUAGAGUUUAUGUAUGCCAUACACGUCAGAGUGCCUCUAAAUUUUUAGACAAAUAUUUCCUAUUGAGCAAUCGAAUAUAUUUGUAAAUAUGCCGAAUUGAUCCAUGUUUAGAUAUUGCCCUUCUAACAUACAUGUCAAGUGAGGUUCAAAUCGAUCAUUACCUACAUCAGGCUAUGGACCGACCAUAAAACCCGAUCAAUAGAAUUGAUUUCUGUUUUGCUGCCCAAUUUUUGUCAGUUUCAGCCAAUGAAAAAAUAUUGCACAGAACAACAUUGGGCUCGUUCAAAUUUAACGCGCUUUUACCUGUAAAUCUGAAAAUUCUAACUAAGGCUUUGACAAGUACGGGAAGACAAAAGACAUGCGGCACCAGAGAAUUGCAAGCGGUGGUAUUUUUCUGAUUUGCGGAAUACUCAUAAAUUGCAGUGUAAGUAAUUAUCAUCAGCGCAAUUGAUGCUGUGCUAUGCUCGGCACACUGAUAUGAGUGGCGAUCGAAUGAAUACUCCUUCCUUUUUUUUGUGUAUCACCGAAUAACGGGCUUAGUGCUAAAUAAAUCAAAAAAUGACUACGUA
Stomoxys calcitrans (stable fly) is the source of this 692-nucleotide long non-coding RNA. RefSeq lists it as uncharacterized. The transcript has 2 exons. The record is from RefSeq and is a predicted model, not a curated record. Lineage: Eukaryota; Metazoa; Arthropoda; Insecta; Diptera; Muscidae.